This 261-nucleotide ribosomal RNA is filed under the name uncultured bacterium. Its description in RNAcentral is "partial 16S ribosomal RNA". It matches the Rfam family "Bacterial small subunit ribosomal RNA", at positions 92 to 354 of the family's 1533-position model. The record is from RNAcentral.
UGAGUGGCGGACGGGUGAGUAACGCGUGGGCAACCUGGCCUGUACAGGGGGAUAACACUUAGAAAUAGGUGCUAAUACCGCAUAACGGGAGAAGCCGCAUGGCUUUUUCCUGAAAACUCCGGUGGUACAGGAUGGGCCCGCGUCUGAUUAGCCAGUUGGCAGGGUAACGGCCUACCAAAGCGACGAUCAGUAGCCGGCCUGAGAGGGUGGACGGCCACAUUGGGACUGAGACACGGCCCAAACUCCUACGGGAGGCAGCAG